UACGAAGGGGGCUAGCGUUGUUCGGAAUUACUGGGCGUAAAGCGCACGUAGGCGGACUGUCAAGUCAGGGGUGAAAUCCCGGGGCUCAACCUAUGAACUGCCUCUGAUACUGUCAGUCUAGAGUCCGGAAGAGGUGGGUGGAAUUCCUAGUGUAGAGGUGAAAUUCGCAGAUAUUAGGAAGAACACCGGUGACGAAGGCGGCCCAAUGGUCCGGAACUGACGCUGAGGUGCGAAAGCGUGGGGAGCAAAUAGG
This 253-nucleotide ribosomal RNA is filed under the name uncultured bacterium. RNAcentral describes it as "partial 16S ribosomal RNA". It matches the Rfam family "Bacterial small subunit ribosomal RNA", at positions 524 to 776 of the family's 1533-position model. The record is from RNAcentral.